Molecule: long non-coding RNA, 1973 nt
Organism: Hippocampus zosterae (dwarf seahorse)
Lineage: Eukaryota; Metazoa; Chordata; Actinopteri; Syngnathiformes; Syngnathidae
Exons: 2
Source: RefSeq, a predicted model, not a curated record
AAACACGCAGAUGAUAAGUCAAGUUAAGUCAACAGUAUUUAUAGAGCACUUUCAAACAGCCAUCGCUGCAUACAAAGUGCUGUACAUGGAGCAAUUUAACAUGCACAAUAAACAUGCACAAUAAACAGUAAGACAAAGCACCAAACAGUAAAAUCAAGAACAAAUCUAAGUCAUGCUGAGUCGAACGCCAAAGAAUACAAGUGAGUUUUGAGGAGGGCUUUGAAGAUGGGCAGCGAGGAGGCUUGCCGAAUGUUCAGUGGGAGGUCAUUCCGGAGAGAGCGACCAGCAACAGAAAAGGCUCGAUCCCCUCUGAGCCUCAAUUUAGUUCUUGGUACUUCUAACAAAGUCUGGUCCACAGACCUGAGGCGCCGGGCAGGUGUGUAGGGGCGGAUGAGCUCAGAGAGGUAUGGUGGCUCGAAAUUAUUCAGAGAUUUGAAAACGAAGAGGAGGCUCUUGAAAAUAACUCUAAAAUGAAUGGGGAGCCAGUGAAAGGAUGCCAGAGUAGGAGUUAUGUGCUCCCUCUUACGAGUACCAGUCAAGAGGCGAGCAGCGGCAUUCUGGACCAGCUGAUUCCAAAGUAAAGGGCAUUGCAGUAAUCGAGCCGGGAUGUGACAAAGGCAUGAAUUACUGUCUCAAAGUGUUCAUGUGAGAGGAGAGCUUUUAUUUUGGCCAGCUGUCUAAGGUGAAAGAAGCUGGAUUUAACAACGGCACCAAUUUGCCGAUCGAGUUUGAAAUCACUGUCCAGUUUAAGGCCCAAGUUAGAGACCGUUGAUUUCAGAUAAGGAGACAGGGGGCCCAAGUCUACAGGAUGCAAUGUACAAGGGCCACUGGGACCAAACAACAUCACCUCUGUCUUCUUUUCGUUGCAUUAAAAAAUACAUGGCGUGUCGUUUAAAGAGAACGUGCUGAUUUCAGUAUUGACCUGGAAAUAAUUCUAAAGAUUAGAGAAAAAUACAAAAAAACGGAAGAAUGAUCCGUACUCGCUGACCCAACUACUGCGAGCAGAUGUGGAAUUUGGCUUUGUGCUGAUUUCAACAUUGACUCAGAUAUAAUUGUGACGAAUGGGCAGAAAAAAAUAAAACCUGGUUUUCUAGGCCCAUAGAAUGUAACGCUGGAAUUUUUGGCGGAGAGUUCAACAAGUGCUGUUUUUCGGCCUUGGCGCAGGGAUAAUUGGGAAAGUUGAGGCCGGGUUGAAUUAAAACCUGAAUUUCUUCUCCCAAAGAAAGUGAGCUUAUGUGGCACAUAAAAAGCUAAAACGUAAAGCCUAGUCUAAAGAAAGUGCCAAUUUCAACCUAAAAUUAAUUUGGUCGAUUAUAAGGGGAGUAGUGGGGAGACACAAAUCUGAUUUGUAAGCAAACCUGCCAUCUUUGCAACCGUUACUGAGCGUUGUGUAAAAAUGAGGUGUCUUCUGGUACUGGAAUGACUGCUGUGAUUUUGUGGGUACAGAUGGCUUUGGCUACACUGCAUAUGAUACGAGUACAUGCAGCAAGGUGUGAAAUGCCUCGUUCCGAUGCCACCUUAUAACACAAAUGUCUGACGACUUGUCAUUCCAGUUCACAUAACGCUUGUUUUUCUACCGUGGUGACUCUCGAAUCAUUUUAUGCUGUCAUCAGUAAAAGCUUCGCGCGGGAUUCAACGUGCCGCGCUUUGAUUUUAGUUUAACUCUUGGAAAAAAAAACUCGUCAGGAAAAACUCUCAUUCUGUCAGGAUGCUAGCUUAUCUGUAAACUUCAAUGUACUGUACUUCUUAAUUACUGAUAGAGUGCCUGCCCACCUAUCAAAUGUGAAAUGAAACAGUCAAAUGAAUCUCUGCCCGUUUUUGAAAACAUUUGUUGACAGUCCAUAUCAAACAUCAACAGAACAAAAGCAUGAAAGUACGGUAUUAAUAUACUUUUUUUAAAUGACAAAAGUCUUGUUGUUGACCUAUUUUAGCCUGUGCAUCGCUGCAGAUGGGUUGUGAUCAGACCAGUAGAA